Molecule: ribosomal RNA, 466 nt
Filed under: uncultured bacterium
Lineage: Bacteria
Description: partial 16S ribosomal RNA
Rfam family: Bacterial small subunit ribosomal RNA
Source: RNAcentral
GAUGAACGCUGGCGGCGUGCUUAACACAUGCAAGUCGAACGGAAAGGCCACAGCUUGCUGUGGUACUCGAGUGGCGAACGGGUGAGUAACACGUGGGUGAUCUGCCCUGUACUUCGGGAUAAGCCUGGGAAACUGGGUCUAAUACCGGAUAGGAAUCACAUGUGGGUGUGUGGUUGGAAAGCUUUUGCGGUAUGGGAUGAGCUCGCGGCCUAUCAGCUUGUUGGUGGGGUAAUGGCCUACCAAGGCGUCGACGGGUAGCCGGCCUGUGAGGGUGUACGGCCACAUUGGGACUGAGAUACGGCCCAGACGCCUGCGGGAGGCAGCAGUGGGGAAUAUUGCACAAUGGGCGCAAGCCUGAGGCAGCGACGCCGCGUGGGGGAUGACGGCCUUCGGGUUGUAAACUCCUUUCGUCAGGGACGAAGCGAAAGUGACGGUACCUGGAUAAGAAGCACCGGCUAACUACGUG